AACAUCGCGCACCUGCGGGAACCUGCGGAGGGAUCAUUACAAGUGACCCCGGUCUAACCACCGGGAUGUUCAUAACCCUUUGUUGUCCGACUCUGUUGCCUCCGGGGCGACCCUGCCUUCGGGCGGGGGCUCCGGGUGGACACUUCAAACUCUUGCGUAACUUUGCAGUCUGAGUAAACUUAAUUAAUAAAUUAAAACUUUCAACAACGGAUCU
Molecule: unclassified non-coding RNA, 214 nt
Filed under: soil metagenome
Description: partial contains 5.8S ribosomal RNA, internal transcribed spacer 2, and large subunit ribosomal RNA
Source: RNAcentral